AGUAGGGAAUAUUGGACAAUGGGUGAGAGCCUGAUCCAGCCAUGCCGCGUGCAGGAAGACGGCCUUCUGGGUUGUAAACUGCUUUUAUCUGGGGAUAAAAAGGCCUUGCGAGGCCAACUGAAGGUACCAGAUGAAUAAGCCACGGCUAACUACGUGCCAGCAGCCGCGGUAAUACGUAGGUGGCAAGCGUUGUCCGGAUUUAUUGGGUUUAAAGGGUGCGUAGGCGGUUUAUUAAGUCAGUGGUGAAAGACGAUAGCUUAACUAUCGAGGUGCCAUUGAUACUGAUGAACUUGAGUGCACACGAGGUAAGCGGAAUGGACGGUGUAGCGGUGAAAUGCAUAGAUAUCGUCCAGAACACCGAUAGUGAAGACAGCUUACCAGAGUGCAACUGACGCUGAGGCACGAAAGUGUGGGGAUCAAA
Molecule: ribosomal RNA, 421 nt
Filed under: uncultured Cytophagaceae bacterium
Lineage: Bacteria; Pseudomonadati; Bacteroidota; Cytophagia; Cytophagales; Cytophagaceae
Description: bacterial SSU rRNA
Rfam family: Bacterial small subunit ribosomal RNA
Source: RNAcentral